Non-coding RNA from Perkinsus marinus ATCC 50983, 82 nucleotides. Lineage: Eukaryota; Perkinsozoa; Perkinsida; Perkinsidae. The record is from Rfam.
GUCAGUUUGGCCGAGUGGUCUAAGGCGCCAGACUCAAGUUCUGGUGGAGAAAUCCGCGUGGGUUCGAACCCUACAGCUGACA